This 37-nucleotide ribosomal RNA is filed under the name Drosophila melanogaster (fruit fly). RNAcentral describes it as "partial 5.8S ribosomal RNA". The record is from RNAcentral. Lineage: Eukaryota; Metazoa; Arthropoda; Insecta; Diptera; Drosophilidae.
UGUCAGUAGUAGACUAUGCAUAUCGUAGCUGAGGAGG